UGGCAAAAAAGGAUCCAUAUAGCCACUCCAACUACUUUGGGAUUUAGGCUUUGUUGUUGUUGUUGUUGGGUACUUGGGUUAGUAUUCAAUAAUGGGCCACUGGGAAUUUGAUAGCUGAUUUUAGGAUCAGGUAUUAAGAGUGGCCUCAGAUUUUUUGGAGCAUGGCUAGCGUUUCCAUGGAAGAAACUUUAACUUCAAUGGAGACGCUGUCAUUUUGAUUCCUAGAUAUGUAAGGGAGGGACACUCAAGAAGCUAAAAGAUGUUUGGAUGACCUUUCCCUUCAGACCAAAAAGGAAGGAGAAAUUGAUAGGUUGGGAUGUUCUCCUCUAGGACGGGUUAAGGUGAAUGCUGA
Molecule: unclassified non-coding RNA, 352 nt
Filed under: Hevea brasiliensis (rubber tree)
Lineage: Eukaryota; Viridiplantae; Streptophyta; Magnoliopsida; Malpighiales; Euphorbiaceae
Source: RNAcentral